AUGAGGCGAUGGGUAGGUAACUCGAGGUGUUGUUUUUGUGCUCAGGAUGAGACAAUACAACAUUUAUUCAUUGAAUGCCCACUUGCUAAGUUACUUUGGAGAACGAUUCAUAUAGCUUUUAAUAUUAACCAUCCAGUAGAUAUUGUGUCUUUGUUUGGGACGUGGUUAGCUGGGGUUGAACAGAUCACGGCAGCUCGUAUUCGGAUUGGAAUAUGUGCGCUACUAUGGGCUAUAUGGAACUGCAGAAACGACAUGAUUUUUAACAGACAACACAACUUAACUUUUUUGCAGGUUAUCUUCAGAGCUACAGCUUGGAUCCGUACGUGGUCCUUACUCACUCCUAUGGACUCCAGGGAGCCUUUGGUUACUGGGUGCAACCAAUGGGAGAUGGUGGCUCGGGUUAUAUUCAACCGGUUCGGAUGGCGUUCACAUAACAGGAUAGGAGUCUAG
Molecule: ribosomal RNA, 450 nt
Filed under: Triticum aestivum (bread wheat)
Lineage: Eukaryota; Viridiplantae; Streptophyta; Magnoliopsida; Poales; Poaceae
Description: partial small subunit ribosomal RNA
Source: RNAcentral